AACGUAACAAGGUUUCCGUAGGUGAACUGCGGAAGGAUCAUUACCAAAUAAAACCAUAAAGUGUCUAGGGACAGCGACAAAGCUCGCGAGCCCUACGAGUCAUCCAAUGCCUUGGCCGCAAAGGUGCCGAUCAGGGGGACCCCCUCGACCACUCGACACAGGCGACCCGGGCGACGCCGCUGAGCGCCGCAGGCAGCCAGCCAACAAGCGUCGCCGUGAAUGGGCGUCUGCGUGUGUGAGAGGCUCCCAUCUGGGCACACGUUUGUCGGUCCUGCACAAAGGCACGGUGGCCCGUUCACCUUCUCACAACCCUCUGCGCACCCAUUCCAUGUUGCUUCCCCGCGCCCCACUCCGGGAGCGGGGGAGGUCCCCAACCGAAACUCCGCAGCGCGUGACCGCAGUCCGAAUGGAACACAAAGCAAAAACGUAAAAACUUUCAACAACGGAUCUCUUGGUUCCCGCAUCGAUGAAGAACGCAGCGAAAUGCGAUAAGUAAUGUGAAUUGCAGAAUUCAGUGAAUCAUCGAAUCUUUGAACGCACAUUGCGCCCCCUGGCAUUCCGGGGGGCAUGCCUGUUCGAGCCUCAGUGAAACCUCUCCGCCGCGCGAGCGCUCCCCUCUUUUGCGGAGGGGCGGCGAUCGGCGGUGGGGGUGGUGGCGGACGCAGACGCCCCUAAAAGCGUGUGCGCCGCUCAAAACCUCGGUCCGCGAGCCCGCAGGGCGAACCCGGCGUAGUGACUACAAUUCUCGCCGGCGAUUCAAGGCCCCCAGAAAGCGGCCCGGGACCUUUAAGCGCUCCGGCGCCGAACCCCACUGCGCUUGAGCUCGGAUCAGGUAGGGAUACCCGCUGAACUUAAGCAUAUCAUAAGAC
RNAcentral lists this ribosomal RNA (869 nucleotides) under Hydnotrya laojunshanensis. RNAcentral describes it as "eukaryotic LSU rRNA". The stretch from base 432 to 585 matches the Rfam family "5.8S ribosomal RNA". The record is from RNAcentral. Lineage: Eukaryota; Fungi; Ascomycota; Pezizomycetes; Pezizales; Discinaceae.